CACAAGAGCUACUUCAGUGUGGUUGGCAUUACUCAUGGCUGGACAGCCUCAAAAUCUGGCUUUUUCGACCAAAUGAACCUUCUUUUUAUACACACAAUCUUUGCAGGAUUGGGUCAGCACAACACUUUCUUUGCUCCAGCUAUUUUAUCCAAAGCCAAAUGGAGCUGCUAGAUUUAUCCAGACAUCUUGGGCUGCUUGAGAGAGUUCCACCCUUAAUAUCAAAGAGAUGCCACCAGUUCAAGGUCAGAGCCUAAUGGACCCUGAAAGAACAGUUUUCAGGAUCUGCUUUGACUCUAAUCCUCUGUUGACCUGCUCCGAUGGCUGGGUGAAGGAACUGAGGAUUGACGAGAAAUGAUGGCAGAGCAUCCUCCUUUGCAAGAGGGAAAGAAAAAAUUAGUAGCAAAGGAAAAUUGAAUAGGCUUGUAAGGUAAUUAGCAAUUUUCAAAUGCAGCAAUGGGCAAAGGAAACAAAACGUGGAACAUGUAUUAAAAGUCAAGCGGAUGGUUUAGAAAAUACAGCUGUAGGAUCACACAGAUUUUGACCAUCCAAACCAAAUUCAAUUAUCAUGUCUGUGCUGCUUUUCUAUUUCCGCCACUGAAAGGCUAUUAUUAGGUGCUCUCUCUCUUUUUUACAUCUCCAAGUAAUGCCUUCAUAAAACAUUCCAAAAAGUAAACAUUAGCUUUAGGCCAUUUGAUUACUGGUUUCCCAGAACGCUAUGUUCUGUCCUGUUUCUCUCCAUAUUCCUUUAAUAUUAAAAAUAGGAAAUGACUGAAGGCAGUUGAAUGGCUCUGCCUUGGAGGCUGUUCCCCCAGCCAGCCUCUCAAGCAUUGUUGGGGCCUCAUCCCUCUAAAACCCAUUUCAUCCUUAUUACACAGACAGCCCGAUGCCAAGCCGGAAAAAACAAAAACCAAAAAGCAAAAAACAAUAAAAAAAUAUAG
Molecule: long non-coding RNA, 938 nt
Organism: Mirounga angustirostris (Northern elephant seal)
Lineage: Eukaryota; Metazoa; Chordata; Mammalia; Carnivora; Phocidae
Exons: 4
Source: RefSeq, a predicted model, not a curated record